RNAcentral lists this ribosomal RNA (448 nucleotides) under uncultured bacterium. Its description in RNAcentral is "partial 16S ribosomal RNA". It matches the Rfam family "Bacterial small subunit ribosomal RNA", at positions 329 to 792 of the family's 1533-position model. The record is from RNAcentral.
UUCCAGACUCCUACGGGAGGCAGCAGUGGGGAAUAUUGGGCAAUGGGCGAAAGCCUGACCCAGCAACGCCGCGUGAAGGAAGAAGGCUUUCGGGUUGUAAACUUCUUUUGACAGGGAAGAGCAGAAGACGGUACCUGUCGAAUAAGCCACGGCUAACUACGUGCCAGCAGCCGCGGUAAUACGUAGGUGGCAAGCGUUGUCCGGAUUUACUGGGUGUAAAGGGCGUGUAGCCGGGCUGACAAGUCAGAUGUGAAAUCCUGCGGCUUAACCGCAGAACUGCAUUUGAAGCUGUUGAUCUUGAGUACUGGAGAGGCAGACGGAAUUCCUAGUGUAGCGGUGAAAUGCGUAGAUAUUAGGAGGAACACCAGUGGCGAAGGCGGCCUGCUGGGCUUUUACUGACGCUGAGGCUCGAAAGUGUGGGGAGCAAACAGGAUUAGAUACCCUAGUA